UUGCUCACUUUGGCAGCACAUAUACUAAAAUUGGAACAAUAUGGAGAAGAUUAGCAUGGCCCCUGCACAAGGAGGGCAGCAAAUUUGUGAAGCAUUCCAUAUUUUU
RNAcentral lists this small nuclear RNA (106 nucleotides) under Sciurus vulgaris (Eurasian red squirrel). Lineage: Eukaryota; Metazoa; Chordata; Mammalia; Rodentia; Sciuridae. The record is from RNAcentral.